GAUCCUGGCUCAGGAUGAACGCUGGCGGCGUGCUUAACACAUGCAAGUCGAACGAAGCGCUUAAAUUUGAUUCUUCGGAUGAAGAUUUUUGUGACUGAGUGGCGGACGGGUGAGUAACGCGUGGGUAACCUGCCUCAUACAGGGGGAUAACAGUUAGAAAUGACUGCUAAUACCGCAUAAGCGCACGGUGUCGCAUGACACAGUGUGAAAAACUCCGGUGGUAUGAGAUGGACCCG
This 236-nucleotide ribosomal RNA is filed under the name uncultured bacterium. Its description in RNAcentral is "partial 16S ribosomal RNA". It matches the Rfam family "Bacterial small subunit ribosomal RNA", at positions 15 to 233 of the family's 1533-position model. The record is from RNAcentral.